Molecule: non-coding RNA, 1803 nt
Organism: Prunus avium (sweet cherry)
Lineage: Eukaryota; Viridiplantae; Streptophyta; Magnoliopsida; Rosales; Rosaceae
Source: RefSeq, a predicted model, not a curated record
ACAAACGUACAAACGCUUCAGGGCUGGAGGACGCAUGUUCGGUCAAAUUAGACCUAAGAAGCAGAAAAUGGAGUUUAGGCUUUAAUAUUAUACGCCUCUACUGUUACUCUCAGUUCAGAGGCUCUGUCUGUGCGCUUCCAUGGCUUCCGUGUCCCUCUCUUCUCUGUGCCUGACGCAGAACCCUAAUUCUAUCAGUUUUAGCUCCAUAGCUUCUGAUCAUUUGAGGUUUGGUUCACCUACUGUUGAAUUCGGCUCCGUCAAGAAGUAUCGGAGAGAUAGAGCUGUCGUCUGCAGAGCUUCCUCGGUUGUCUUUCGCAACCUCGAUGCCGAUGACUUUCGGCACCCUCUCGAUAAACAGAACACGCUGAUUUUGAGGGCGAUUCCAGGAUUGAAUGAGCUUGGAAAGAUUCUUCUAGGAUCCGUUGCAGAGCAAGUCAUGCUUCUUGAGAAUAUUGGAACAUCCCUUCUUGUUUCUAAAGAUCAGCUUUCUGGUCUACAUCAAUUGAUGGUUGAGGCCGCGGAAAUCCUCAAUAUUGAUGCUCCUGAUCUAUAUGUUCGUCAAAGUCCUGUACCAAAUGCAUAUACUUUAGCAAUAAGUGGUAAAAAGCCAUUUGUUGUUGUUCAUACUAGCCUUGUGGAGCUUUUGACUCGAGAAGAGUUACAGGCUGUUUUGGCUCAUGAGUUGGGUCAUCUCAAAUGCGACCAUGGUGUAUGGCUUACAUUUGCAAAUAUUCUUACCCUUGGAGCUUAUACCAUACCUGGGCUUGGUGGGAUGAUUGCUCAGAGUUUAGAAGAACAGUUAUUUCGUUGGCUUCGAGCAGCAGAGCUAACUUGUGAUCGUGCAGCCCUUCUUGUUGCACAAGACCCAAAGGUGGUCAUCUCUGUUCUAAUGAAAUUAGCUGGGGGCUGCCCUUCUCUGGCUGAUCAACUAAAUGUGGAUGCAUUUUUGGAACAAGCUCGCUCCUAUGACAAAGCUUCUUCAAGCCCAGUAGGGUGGUAUAUAAGAAAUGCUCAAACGAGACAACUUUCACAUCCUCUGCCCGUUCUACGUGCUCGUGAAAUUGAUGAAUGGUCAAGAAGUCAAGACUACACAACUCUUCUGAAACGUGCAACACAGAUCACUGGUGCAAAGAAAGUUUUAAGAACACCAGGAAGAUAGUCAAAAACCAAAGCACUGUGAAAAGGCAGCCCUGCGUCUCACGGCAAAGAGCUACAGAGACAAAGAGGAUAUGCUAAGAGUUUUUUCUGCUGUAAAAGCCUUGCUGUAACUAAAUUCUGCAGAUUGAGGAUGCACGGGUCGUAACUCCUGGUCCAGGAUUGCCUGUUCCCCAUCCUCCACAUUCAAGCUCAGCAUCUGAUCAUCAAGCAAUGCCUGCUUCCAAUCCUCUACCUUCAGCCCCAUUAUUUGAUCAUCAAGCAAUGCCUGCUUCCAAUCGUCCACAUUCGAGCUCAGCUUCAGAUCAUCACGCAAUGCCUGCUUCGCAUCCUCUGCACUCAGGCUCAACUUCAGAUCAUCAAGCAAUGCCUGCUUCUCAUUCUCCGCAUUCAGGUUCAGCUUCAGAUGGCAAAAUCACCACAAUGGGAACACAGCGGACUCCUAUUCUGUGCGAAAGUGAGAAACCUACUCAACAAAAGCCAAUGUCUCGGAAGCAGCUAGGGGUUUAAUAUGGCAGACCAUAACAUAACAAAUAAUAAUUUUAAGUAAAUAAUCGACGACAUCCACUUGUAUUACACACGACAUGCAGUUUGAUGUCAAAAUCAUACCCAUAAGAACAAUAUGAACGUUUUUUGUUUGACAAUUAA